UUGCACAAUUACCAAUUAACUAACGUCCCAAAGUGCAGCGAUGAACGUCAGUUAAUGCUCUGCGGUCGUAAUAUCACCUGUGCAUCAGCUGCGUGGGAGAACUAACUGAUAGGAGUAAACCAACGAUAUAUCAGCAAAUCUAUUUCUGGUCACCGGAACCCCUUGCUAAUUUUAAGUCUUGACAAAAUGAUGGCGCUUAUGAAAAUAAUCACAUGGUGAAAAAUGUAUGUAUAUGCAUUUGACGGUGUCUAUGGCAAUAUACAAAUGGCAGAAGUAUGCCGGAGGAAUCGCCAACGUCAUACUUGAUGAGUACGUCAGUUAGUGGGCGUUGCAGGUGGUAAACAGAGCU
This is a long non-coding RNA of Drosophila elegans, 349 nucleotides long. RefSeq lists it as uncharacterized. The record is from RefSeq and is a predicted model, not a curated record. The transcript has 3 exons. NCBI's taxonomy places the organism in Eukaryota, Metazoa, Arthropoda, Insecta, Diptera, Drosophilidae.